This 253-nucleotide ribosomal RNA is filed under the name uncultured bacterium. RNAcentral describes it as "partial 16S ribosomal RNA". It matches the Rfam family "Bacterial small subunit ribosomal RNA", at positions 524 to 776 of the family's 1533-position model. The record is from RNAcentral.
UACAGGAGAGGCUAACGUUAUUCGUCGUUAUUGGGCGUAAAGGGUGUGUAGAUUGUUUUUCUUUAUUUUUAUGAAAAUAAAAAUGUAAUUUUUUUAAUUUAAGCUAAAAAGCAAAACUAGAGUUACUAAUAAAAAUAAUAAAAUUUCUAAUGUAAAGUUAAAAAUUGUCGAUAUUAGAAGGAAGGCCAUAAAUGAAAAUAAUUAUUUGACUGUAACUGACAUUCAUGAUACGUAGGUUAGGGUAGCAAACAAG